This 396-nucleotide ribosomal RNA is filed under the name uncultured bacterium. RNAcentral's name for it is "partial 16S ribosomal RNA". It matches the Rfam family "Bacterial small subunit ribosomal RNA", at positions 523 to 918 of the family's 1533-position model. The record is from RNAcentral.
AUACGUAGGGAGCGAGCGUUGUCCGGAAUUACUGGGCGUAAAGGGUGCGUAGGCGGGACUGCAAGUCAGAUGUGAAAUGCCGGGGCUCAACCCCGGAGCUGCAUUUGAAACUGUGGUUCUUGAGUGAGGUAGAGGUAAGCGGAAUUCCUAGUGUAGCGGUGAAAUGCGUAGAUAUUAGGAGGAACAUCGGUGGCGAAGGCGGCUUACUGGGCCUUUACUGACGCUGAGGCACGAAAGCGUGGGGAGCAAACAGGAUUAGAUACCCUGGUAGUCCACGUUGUAAACGAUGAUGACUAGGUGUGGGGGGACUGAACCCUUCCGUGCCGCAGGUAACACAAUAAGUCAUCCACCUGGGGAGUACGGCCGCAAGGUUGAAACUCAAAUGAAUUGACGGGG